This is a long non-coding RNA of Homo sapiens (human), 502 nucleotides long. Ensembl annotates it as long intergenic non-protein coding RNA 1301. The record is from Ensembl. NCBI's taxonomy places the organism in Eukaryota, Metazoa, Chordata, Mammalia, Primates, Hominidae.
AGGCUUACGCGCUAACAGUGAAUUAGAAGGAGAAAACGCUCUGCGAGUGCAGCGGAAGGGAGGACCCUGUGGCUGGAGAAAUCCCGCCGCGAACACCCAGCGACCAGGUCUACAGCAGCACCAGGUCUGUGCUUCCCCCUGGUGGUCACAGAUUUUACUACACGCGGCCCACAAGUAAAAUGAGUUUCUCUUCAGUGGCCCGGUUAUCUUCUGUCGUGUAGGAGGAAGUCCAGAGCCACGGAAAUUCGGUAAGGAUCGGAUAAGGGCAAUAAAAUCGCAGCUCUAAAUCUUUUCAUGGAGUUGAAGACAGACGUUUGACUGUGGGAGCCAUCUCAUCUUUAUAACCUGGUAAACAAUGCCAGAAUAAAAACAACAAAUUCAAUGUAUUUAAGUCGGUUUCGACAGUGAGGAAUUAAAAUUAAAUUUAUUUAAACUAUUUUGACUUUUACCCAAGUUUUUCUUACAGUUCCAUCUCAUUUUUCCCUCCUUACAUAGUUUGGGG